UACGUAGGGUGCGAGCGUUAAUCGGAAUUACUGGGCGUAAAGCGUGCGCAGGCGGUUUUGUAAGACAGGCGUGAAAUCCCCGGGCUCAACCUGGGAACUGCGCUUGUGACUGCAUCACUUGAGUACGGCAGAGGGGGGUGGAAUUCCACGUGUAGCAGUGAAAUGCGUAGAGAUGUGGAGGAACACCGAUGGCGAAGGCAGCCCCCUGGGUCGAUACUGACGCUCAUGCACGAAAGCGUGGGUAGCAAACAGG
This 253-nucleotide ribosomal RNA is filed under the name uncultured bacterium. RNAcentral describes it as "partial 16S ribosomal RNA". It matches the Rfam family "Bacterial small subunit ribosomal RNA", at positions 524 to 776 of the family's 1533-position model. RNAcentral also lists the same sequence under 1 other name. The record is from RNAcentral.